UACGUAGGGUGCGAGCGUUGUCCGGAAUUAUUGGGCGUAAAGGGCUCGUAGGCGGUCUGUUGCGUCAGGAGUGAAAACUCGGGGCUUAACCCCGAGCCUGCUUCUGAUACGGGCAGACUAGAGGUAUGCAGGGGAGAACGGAAUUCCUGGUUUAGCGGUGAAAUGCGCAGAUAUCAGGAGGAACACCGGUGGCGAAGGCGGUUCUCUGGGCAUUACCUGACGCUGAGGAGCGAAAGUGUGGGGAGCGAACAGG
RNAcentral lists this ribosomal RNA (253 nucleotides) under uncultured bacterium. RNAcentral describes it as "partial 16S ribosomal RNA". It matches the Rfam family "Bacterial small subunit ribosomal RNA", at positions 524 to 776 of the family's 1533-position model. The record is from RNAcentral.